RNAcentral lists this ribosomal RNA (308 nucleotides) under Clostridioides difficile. RNAcentral's name for it is "bacterial SSU rRNA". It matches the Rfam family "Bacterial small subunit ribosomal RNA", at positions 892 to 1199 of the family's 1533-position model. The record is from RNAcentral. Lineage: Bacteria; Bacillati; Bacillota; Clostridia; Peptostreptococcales; Peptostreptococcaceae.
GAGUGAAACUCAAAGGAAGUGACGGGGACCCGCACAAGUAGCGGAGCAUGUGGUUUAAUUCGAAGCAACGCGAAGAACCUUACCUAAGCUUGACAUCCCAAUGACAUCUCCUUAAUCGGAGAGUUCCCUUCGGGGACAUUGGUGACCGGUGGUGCAUGGUUGUCGUCAGCUCGUGUCGUGAGAUGUUGGGUUAAGUCCCGCAACGAGCGCAACCCUUGUCUUUAGUUGCCAUCAUUAAGUUGGGCACUCUAGAGAGACUGCCAGGGAUAACCUGGAGGAAGGUGGGGAUGACGUCAAAUCAUCAUGCC